Molecule: long non-coding RNA, 1961 nt
Organism: Gymnodraco acuticeps
Lineage: Eukaryota; Metazoa; Chordata; Actinopteri; Perciformes; Bathydraconidae
Exons: 2
Source: RefSeq, a predicted model, not a curated record
CCCAGCGCACAAACGCAGAGAGACUAACUUAUGGCAACACAAAAGAAAACAUGGGAGCGGUGGAACGUGAUCUGUACUUAGUUCAUGAACUAAGUUCUGAUGAACCUUUGUGGGAAAGUACUGCAGUGUGAAAGCGCCUCUUGUUAGAGCAGCGAAUGGUGAAUAUGGAAGAGAGGCUGGGGGACACGGAAGACAGGACGGUGUGGCUGGAGCGUUCGGUCGCCUUCCUGCUUCAACAAGAGGCAAAGUUAGCUGCCAAGUGAGACGACUUGGAACCAAGGUCGAGACGCAACAAGUGCGGAUACAUGGCAUAACGGAGGGCUCUGAGAAAAAUGACACGAUAGGGUUUGUUUCUGGCUUUAUCCGCUCAUCACUACAAAUUCCGGUGGAGGUGGAUGUCCUUAUCGAAAUAAUUGUUCGCUUUCUAGAUUAUCAGGUGAAAGAGCAGGUUAUACAGCAGGCAUGGAAAAAAAGACUACAUAUGAGGGACAGACCAUCUACUUCAAUCAAGACUACACGAAUGAGGUUAAAAAAAAAGAGAAAGCAAGUGCGGGACGUAAUAAAAAAGUUAAAGGAGAAGAACGUGAAGGCAAAGUCCCCAUAUCCCGCACAGCUGAAAGUGUUUCUGGCAUCAGGGACUAAGACAUUCACUACAUUAAUGGAGGCUGCGCCCAUGCUGUGUUUGUUGUGCUGUUGCCUUGUGGACUAUUCUUCAUGCUUAGAUCGGACUAUUAUGACUCGCUCCGCGUUUAAAACAGACGGUGCAUGAAUGCAGUUUUACGGUCUUUUGGGGCGAGCAGAGAAAUUUUUCUGUUGUUCUUUACAUCUGUGAUCAUGUCCAUUCUACAGUACUGCAAUACUACCUGGUACAAAUGUCUGUCAGCAGCUUUAAAAUGAAAACUGCUCCACCUGUUAAAAAUCUGCUCAAAGAUUGUUGGUCAACCCUGUCAGAGACUCUAUGACUCAGCCUAUCAUAACAACCUAGUGAGGCUGUCCAACAACAUCAUCUCUGACCCAAACCAUGUUCUGAACUGUGAAUAUGAACUGCUACCAUCUAAUCGGAGAUACAGGGUCCCACAAUUCAAUAAGGUCAGACUGAAGCAGUCCUUUGUGCAUCAGUCAGUCCUCACAGUAAAUACAGAGCUAAAUCCCAGAUCAAAUGCACGCUGAAGGCUCUUUGAGCAGCUUUUCUCUCACUGAUUGUGCUGUUAUGUUAAUUUGUUGUUGUUUGUGUUUCAUGUAUUGUGUAUGUGUGGACAUGGAGCUGCUGUGACGCAAGUCAAAUUUUAGACUUGAUCUGACAAAUAAAGUAAUAUCGUAUCGUAUCGUAACUAAGAUGAUGUUAUGAUUUAUUUUUUGUUAGUAUGCAUGUGGACGCUUUGGACAUACCUGGAGAAGGAAGAAAUGGGUCUUCGGAAUGAUGGGAGUUAAAGACAAAAGCGCAGACUAGUGUUGAAACUAGUGGAGAAACGAUCAAGAUGCCACCUUGUCCCUCUGAUUAGACGGCACGUUAAGUCAGGAAGUAGCAUUAUUAGUGAUGAGUGGAGGGCAUACAGGAGAGUGCUGAGUAACAAGGGGUACAACCACUACACCAUAAACCACAGCAGGUGGUUUGUGAACCCUCAGACGGCAGUCAUAUCCAAAAUAUAGAAAGAGCUUGGUCGACCGUCAAAGGACAUGUCCGUAGACUGAGAGUAAACCGUACAGAGAGUUUGUUGGAGGAACACCUCAAGGGUCUUGAAUGGUCAUCUUGGCUUGGCUCUGCUCACCCUGAUGGACUGCUUGGACGCUUGUUCAAGAAUAUACACAAAGACUUUCCAGUCUGAGUGCCAUUAUGUCUUACCAAGUCUUUAAUUUAUGUCUGAGAAAAGCUUUUAUGUAUAAAUAUGUGCAUCACUCAUCAACAGUCAUUACUUUGAGUCCUAAUUUUCUUCAUGUGUGAAUAAAAUGUUUUGCUUGGC